GACAUGCAAGUGGUAGGAAUCCGAAAGGUGACCGACCUUCGGGGAGCUUGCACAGGUGCUGCAUGGCUGUCGUCAGCUCGUGUCGUGAGAUGUUCGGUUAAGUCCGCUAACGAGCGCAACCCUCGUCGUGUGUUAUACGUGUCACACGAUACUGCCGGUAUCAAGCCGGAGGAAGGUGGGGAUGAUGUCAAGUCAGCAUGGCCUUUAUAUCCUGGGCUACACACACGCUACAAUGGCAGAUACAAUAGGUCGCGAAACCGCGAGGUGGAGCCAAUCCUCAAAGUACUGUCUCAGUUCAGAUUGUAGGCUGCAACUCGCCUACAUGAAGUCGGAGUUGCUAGUAAACGCAGGUCAGCUAUACUGCGUUGAAUACGUUCCCGGGGUUU
This 386-nucleotide ribosomal RNA is filed under the name uncultured Leptolinea sp. Its description in RNAcentral is "bacterial SSU rRNA". It matches the Rfam family "Bacterial small subunit ribosomal RNA", at positions 983 to 1382 of the family's 1533-position model. The record is from RNAcentral. Lineage: Bacteria; Bacillati; Chloroflexota; Anaerolineae; Anaerolineales; Anaerolineaceae.